This 1390-nucleotide long non-coding RNA is filed under the name Linum usitatissimum (flax). Its description in RNAcentral is "long non-coding RNA (LUSI_LNC007240)". Lineage: Eukaryota; Viridiplantae; Streptophyta; Magnoliopsida; Malpighiales; Linaceae. The record is from RNAcentral.
UGAUUUCCAAUAAGAAUCAGCGUCUCCUCUCUCUCGCCGUUUCGCCGAAUCCGCCUCUCUCUCCUCUUUCUCUCCAAUUUCUUUCUCCUCUUCCACUUAUUUUUAUUUUCCAGAAUUAAAAUAAGAACACUAGGUAGAGUAUUACCUUUCUUUUCUGAUCUCUCCGAGGUGGAUAUAGCCACCGUCCUCGCCAAUUCGGAUUUUUGGCAGUGUCUCCAUCUUCUUGGCAUCUCUUUCGUUGACGAAACCGCCACCGUCUCUAUUGAAUGAACGCCACUAUGAAUGAUCCCGCCGGCUAGGAUUCUGCCGCCAUGAUUGUUGAUCAUCGGGAGGACGCCUUGACGAGACAUACAAACAGAAGGUAAAUAGAAAAUCAGAUCUGGUCGUCUUUUAUAAUUUAUUCUUUUAAAUCUAAGGUGAAUAAGGAGUAGAUAAGAGGAUAGGCAAAUCUCAGUAAUAAAAAGAAAUUUAUGCAGAUCAAAUUGCCUUCUGUUUCUUAUUUUGUCUUAAAAAUGAGAAUUAGCACUUGAAACAAUGAUCAAUUCAGGGGAAGAUAAUAGGUAUGCUAAAAAUUAAUGUAAUUAUGUUAUUAGUGUUACUAUACAGUGAUGAAUGUGUAUGAUUGUUGCAUGAAAUAAGAUGGAAACAAAGUAAUGCUUCUGAUUUGUUUAGACCAGUAGCGGUUAUGUAAUCGUAAGGCUUAGUAGCAUAGCAUGAACUAAAACAUGAAAUAGUGGUUUUAAUUUCUGUAGUUAGUGUUAGUUUAUAUGUAAGCAGAGUUAAUAAGGCAACAUAUAUAUAGCCGCCGAAGUUGAUGUAAACCCAUGUCGGUUGGUCUUGACUUGCUGUAUAGAAAGGUGAAUAACAACUGAAUAUCUGAACAUCAAAUAGGGUCUCGAUCUUUAGGUAUUUCAAUACCUUUCCCACAUAUACCACAAGCCUUGAUUGUUGGAUUUAUUUAUCUUUCUCAUUUGCAAACACACUAAUAAUCUAAUUGUUUUGGUUUCUUGGCAGGGGGGGAAGAAGGAGAGGCCUUAUGAAGGAAGAAGUUAGGAGAUGAAAAGGAUGACGAGUUUGGGAUGAGGGAGAGAGAUUUUGGGAUUACUUGCAGUGUGAAGGUUUUUCCUUGUGAGGAAUUGUGGGGAAUAUUACUGUAUUAGUUUUAUUUGUUUUAUAUUUUUGGGCCAACUUUUUAUUUAUUGGGCUCAAAGUUAGAUCGGAUCCAAAUCCAUAUGUAUCAAAUGCUGUUAAGGCCCGUUGACUCUUAGCCCACUUUAUUUUGAGAUAGUAAAUGCACGUCCCCAUCCGUUUAAGACUUUAUCAUGAUACGACUCGAAGAAGUUUAUUCAUAAUAUAUCACGAAAUUACUAACAUAGCAAGAAUUUUAGCU